Molecule: ribosomal RNA, 261 nt
Filed under: uncultured archaeon
Lineage: Archaea
Description: partial 16S ribosomal RNA
Rfam family: Archaeal small subunit ribosomal RNA
Source: RNAcentral
CAGCCGUAAACUAUGCUCGCUAGGUGUCAGGCAUGGCGCGACCGUGUCUGGUGCCGCAGGGAAGCCGUGAAGCGAGCCACCUGGGAAGUACGACCGCAAGGCUGAAACUUAAAGGAAUUGGCGGGGGAGCACAACAACGGGUGGAGCCUGCGGUUUAAUUGGACUCAACGCCGGACAACUCACCGGGGACGACAGCAAUAUGUAGGCCAGGCUGAAGACCUUGCCUGAAUCGCUGAGAGGAGGUGCAUGGCGUAGACGUCU